This 224-nucleotide long non-coding RNA is filed under the name Capsicum annuum. RNAcentral's name for it is "long non-coding RNA (CANN_LNC011775)". Lineage: Eukaryota; Viridiplantae; Streptophyta; Magnoliopsida; Solanales; Solanaceae. The record is from RNAcentral.
AGAAUAUCAUAAAAUAAAUCAUAAUUUAACACUUAAGCAUGCAAGUCAAUAUUGGAGUAUUACUUAUUCAUUAAUUAUUUAAAUGUCAUUACCUCUUUUCAUAUAAUACAAUCAUCACGCUAAUUCAAGUCAUCUAUCCUUUAGAUAUUAUUAUGUAUCAAUACUUAAUCCUAGAAUGGUUCUCCUCAACAUAUUAUUGUCCAACACAUACAACUUAAUAUCAU